AACGAACGCUGGCGGCAUGCCUAACACAUGCAAGUCGAACGAGACCUUCGGGUCUAGUGGCGCACGGGUGCGUAACGCGUGGGAAUCUGCCCUUGGGUUCGGAAUAACAGUUGGAAACGACUGCUAAUACCGGAUGAUGACGUAGGUCCAAAGAUUUAUCGCCCAAGGAUGAGCCCGCGUAGGAUUAGCUAGUUGGUGAGGUAAAGGCUCACCAAGGCGACGAUCCUUAGCUGGUCUGAGAGGAUGAUCAGCCACACUGGGACUGAGACACGGCCCAGACUCCUACGGGAGGCAGCAGUGGGGAAUAUUGGACAAUGGGCGAAAGCCUGAUCCAGCAAUGCCGCGUGAGUGAUGAAGGCCUUAGGGUUGUAAAGCUCUUUUACCCGGGAUGAUAAUGACAGUACCGGGAGAAUAAGCUCCGGCUAACUCCGUG
RNAcentral lists this ribosomal RNA (433 nucleotides) under uncultured bacterium. RNAcentral describes it as "partial 16S ribosomal RNA". It matches the Rfam family "Bacterial small subunit ribosomal RNA", at positions 29 to 507 of the family's 1533-position model. The record is from RNAcentral.